RNAcentral lists this unclassified non-coding RNA (382 nucleotides) under Tulasnellaceae sp. RNAcentral's name for it is "partial contains 5.8S ribosomal RNA, internal transcribed spacer 2, and large subunit ribosomal RNA". The stretch from base 276 to 382 matches the Rfam family "Eukaryotic large subunit ribosomal RNA", at positions 1 to 108 of the family's 3401-position model. Lineage: Eukaryota; Fungi; Basidiomycota; Agaricomycetes; Cantharellales; Tulasnellaceae. The record is from RNAcentral.
CGCACUGCACUAUCCGGACGACUCCCCCGUGAUAGUAUGCCCCAUUGAGCGUCAUUUAUUCCUUCGGAUGUUAGCGUGUUCAUUCACACUUCCAGACGAGUCCGAGGCCCACAUCUGCUUCAUUGCGGCUGCGUCCCUCGAGAUCCAUUAGCCAGCCGUGUCUGACUGGUGCCCAUCCUGUGAUGACUUUGCAGGUGACGCACUCCGUCUUCUGAUGACCGGUGGCUCAUAAUCGCCCUCGCGGCAACCUGGCCUCCGUGCCGACAUCUCGUACAUGACCUCAGUGGGGUAGGAUUACCCGCUAGACUUAAGCAUAUUAAUCAGCGGAGGAAAAGAAACUAACAAGGAUUCCCCUAGUAACUGCGAGUGAAGAGGGAAGAGC